This 253-nucleotide ribosomal RNA is filed under the name uncultured bacterium. RNAcentral describes it as "partial 16S ribosomal RNA". It matches the Rfam family "Bacterial small subunit ribosomal RNA", at positions 524 to 776 of the family's 1533-position model. The record is from RNAcentral.
GACGUAGGGGGCAAGCGUUGUCCGGAAUCAUUGGGCGUAAAGCGCGUGUAGGCGGCCCGGUAAGUCCGCUGUGAAAGUCCAGGGCUCAACCCUGGAAUGCCGGUGGAUACUGUCGGGCUCGAGUCCGGAAGAGGCGAGUGGAAUUCCUGGUGUAGCGGUGAAAUGCGCAGAUAUCAGGAGGAACACCUAUGGCGAAGGCAGCUCGCUGGGACGGUAUUGACGCUGAGACGCGAAAGCGUGGGGAGCGAACAGG